Non-coding RNA from Rattus norvegicus (Norway rat), 2758 nucleotides. The record is from RefSeq and is a predicted model, not a curated record. NCBI's taxonomy places the organism in Eukaryota, Metazoa, Chordata, Mammalia, Rodentia, Muridae.
GUCAGGGAAAAUGACACUUCAUUCUUGAACCUUGGCUCUCAGCUUCUGAAGCUCUGGAGGACAUUGGGAUACUGCAAAGGAGUUUUUUUAGGAUGACUCCGCCCCCUUCUGAUCUAGCUCUUGGCCUCUCUGCUCAUUAAGAAUCAACUCUAAGCCAGGAAAUCAAGGAAGUAAAUCAUGUACCCGAAGGCAAGCACUGUUAGGCCUAAAGCCCUGCUCCUCCUGUCAGUGAGGUCUGGCCCUUGGCCUGAGCAUGCUUUGUCUGGAGCUCUGGGUCUCCAUAUGACUCCUCAGACCUUCUCCUCUGACCCUUCCGACCUCAUGCUUGCCAGCCUCCAUUGCAAAAGACAGGUCGGACGGCUCUUCCUCUUCUCCAUCUCCCUGUCCCGAGAAGCUGCUAAAGAUAUACAUCUUGGGGUUGGGGAUUUAGCUCAGUGGUAGAGCGCUUGCCUAGCAAGUGCAAGGUCCUGGGUUUGGUCCCCAGCUCCGAAAAAAAAAAAAAGAUAUACAUCUUGUUUGUUCUUAAAAUGAAACAAAACCUCCAAAACUAAUAAAACUGCCUCCAAGCUUCUUUCUUAGUCCAUUCCUAAAUUAUUUUAUUAAUAAGAGCCUAUAAAAAAAAAAAAAAGAGCCGGCAUAGUGGUGCCUGCCUUUAAUACCAGCAUUCCAGAGGUAGAGGUGAGUGGAUCUUUAUGAGUUUGAGGCCAGCCUCGUCUAGAGAGAAUUCCAGGACAGCCAGACUACACAGAGAGACCCUGUCUCAUGAAAAUAGAAAUAUAAAAAUAUAACCCACAAAACCACCCCUAAUUUCCCCCAGAAAGGGUUCCAGUUGGAAGAGAGUGAGUAUGGAUAGGUUUCCCUUGGUGAAGCCAGUUACACAUGCAGUCUAAAUAUUUAACACUUCAGGUGAGGGCCUUGCGCAAUGACACAAUACUUCCCUAGCAGACACAAGGCCCUGAAUUCCAUCUCCGACACCAAUAGGGGGGGAAAGUAGUUUAACUCUUUCGAGUGUGUGGACCAGUUCCAGCUAAGCAUUGGGUUUAUUGUGCAAAAGUUCACAUGAUCCGACUCAUCUUCUCAAACCGAAACAAGACCAUUACAUGCUGCUUCCCUCACUUCCCCUUCCUCCAGCUCUGUAGCAACCACCAUCCUGGUUUUGUUUAAUGUGACUAAUUUAUAUACCUGUAGCAUAAUAUGAAUUUUAAUUACAUCUAUGUUAUUUAACCUUUGUUCCAGUUCUUGGCUCAGAGCUCCAAGAUUCCCUGGAAUGCUCUGAAUGACAGAAGUGUCUUUUUUUAAUUCUUAAGAGUCCCUCUGGGCUGGAGAGAUGGCUCAGAGGUUAAGAGCACCGACUGCUCUUCUAGAGGUCCUGAGUUCAAAUCCCAGCAACCACAUGGUGGCUCACAACCACCCGUAAUGGAAUCCGAUGCCCUCUUCUGGUGUGUCUGAAGACAGCUACAAUGUACUCAUACACAAAAUAAAUAAAUCUAAAAAAAAAAAAAAAAGAGUCCCUUCACAAAAGACCUGAGGUAUGUUAAUGAAGUAACAGGUCAAGACUCCUUGGUCAGUGCUUGGGGGGGUGUAAUUACCUUUACUUAUAAAGCAGUUACUGGGGGUUAGGGAUUUAGCUCAGUGGUAGAGCGCUUGCCUAGGAAGCGCAAGGCCCUGGGUUCGGUCCCCAGCUCCGAAAAAAAGAAAAAAAAUAAAUAAAGCAGUUACUGGAAAAUGGGAACUACCUGUUUCAUCUUCUAUAACUCCAGGGGGGAACCCUGGAGACUGAGCUGGAUUGAAAACUCUAGACUCUAGAGACAGAAUUCUAAAGUCUAGAAUGUUGAAUCACAGAGAGUGUGCAGGCUGGGAACACACAGGGGGCUGGGACGUUGGCCUACAAGGACCAGGAGUAACUCCACACAGUCUCUUUUCCCAUGCCAAACAUCUAACAUUUCCUAUACUGCAUCCUUCAAAAGCUGGCAAAUUUUAAGUCAGGUAGUCUCAUCUGUCUGUGAGCUUUAAACCUCCAGCGCUAAUCUGGUUGGUGAGGGUAUGGGUGGUCCCUGUGUUACGGUUUGAGUAUGCUCGGCCCAGGGAGUGGUACUAUUUGAAGGUGUAGCCUUGUUGAAGUAGAUGUGUCACUGUGGGUGUGAGCUUAAGACCCUCACCUUAGCUGCCUGGAAGCCAGUCUUCCACUAGCAGCCUUCAGAUGAAGAUGUAGAACUCUCAACUCUGCCUGCACCAUGCCUGCCUGGAUGCUACCAUGUUCCUGCCUUGAUACUGGACUGAACCUCUGAACCUGUAAGCCAGCCCCAAUUAAAUGUCGUCUUUUAUAAGACUUGCCUUGGUCAUGAUGUCUGUUCACAGCAGUAAAACCCUAACUAAGACACCGUGGAAGUCCUUCACUACACAAGUGUAGGGUUGGGCAGACUUGUGUGACUGAAGUCCUGCAGAGUCUGCGAAGUCCAGUUUGCUUUUAGUGACUUGAACCCUUUGAUACCCGGCUUUUCAUGUCUAGCUUCCCCUGUUCUGAGAACCACUACUAGAAGUCCUCAGCGGGACUGCAGACUCCAGUUAACUUUGCCACAGCUAACACCUCUUGUUCUUAACAUUGCUUUUCAGGAACUUGGUAAUGCCAGCCAGUUGAAAACAUUGACCCUUCACUUUGGAUUGUGCAAGUUGCCCACGAGUGACCUUUGGAGCACUUAAACCCCAUCCUCAAAGCACACUACUCUUCCUCAUUAAAAGACUUUGACUUCCUUGUUAA